Lagenorhynchus albirostris (white-beaked dolphin) is the source of this 605-nucleotide long non-coding RNA. RefSeq lists it as uncharacterized. NCBI's taxonomy places the organism in Eukaryota, Metazoa, Chordata, Mammalia, Artiodactyla, Delphinidae. The record is from RefSeq and is a predicted model, not a curated record. The transcript is spliced from 3 exons.
GGAGUUACCGCAUUCGAGUAAGAGUGGGACGUUGCUGCACCUUGUGAACGAAAAGAUGUUUCCCUUCUGAGAUGACUAUUUUUCUUCAGUGCCUUCUUGGAUCCUAGAAGGGGCAAAAAUGACUAGUUUCUGGGGCAUCAUGUGGCAUCUCAAUUCCCCAACUGAGGAUUGAACCUGCACCCCCUGUAGUGGGGGCACAGAGUCUUAACCACUGGACUGCCAGGGAAGUCCCUGUAUAUUCUUCAAGGCACAGGCUCCGGCAGGCUCAGCGGCCAUGGCUCACGGGCCCAGCCGCUCCGCAGCACGUGGGAUCUUCCUGGACUGGGGCAUGAACCCGUGUCCCCUGCAUCGGCAGGCGGACUCUCAACCACUGCGCCAUCAGGGAAGCCCUCUCUUUUUUUUACAUUUUUACUUUUUUUAACAUUUUCUUUGCCACCCUGUGCGACAUGUGAGAUCUUAGUUCCCCAACCGGGGAUUGAACCCCGUGCCCUUUGCAUUGCAAGUGCGGAAUCUUCACCACUGGACCACCAGGGAAGUCCCAAGAUGUAUCUAAUUAUUUCUUAACAGAGUCUUGUCAAUCUACUCUAUGCCCCAGAAAAUAAAAC